GACGGCGACGACUGGGAUCCCACGCUCGAGCCCGACGAGCUGGGCGAGCUCGACAGUGAGGUCAUCCGCACUGCCCACCACGAUUGUGAACAGAACAAGAAGGUUGACCCUCUCGCUCUGUUUUUUUCUUUUCUUUCCAAGUGAUGAUUGCUCUACUCUAGCAUAGUUCCCCAGGGGCUCCCAAAUUUACUUGGACUGAACUUGAUGCAGAAAACGUGGUCACUUCCUUUCCUGAUACCUGCAUGUUACAGCCAACGAUAGACUAGAACUGCUGGCUAUUUUAUUUUUUCUUCUCUGACCGUGCGAGUCUAGCAGUGAAAAAUUUGUGAGAUCUGCUAGUUAGUUAAGAGACUACUAGUUUAAUAAGAUGUUCCUGUUGGUUCCUUGGAAUUUUCUUAUUUAUGAGGGGAAAAUAAUUCAUUUAUCUCACUGAAUCCAUUGACCAAGAGUAGAUUGUUUGUUAACUAGGCCUGCUAUUACAUUUAUUUUCUGUUAUGUGGUGAAAAUAGCCAUCAUAUUGAUUCCCAAUUUAUGCCAGAUGAAUUUUCAUGCUAUUGUACCGAGAUGAUGGUGGUGCUCGUUGCCAUGGAAUUCUUGGUUGAUCACAUUUGUUAUCUGCAAAUAUACGUGUUGUAUUUUUGUAUCUUUUGUUAUGAAAGACAUUUCCCUUUGGAAGAAGAACACUACUUGAAGAAAAAGGGGAAGCCAAAAUAGCUGACGACUAUGUAUUCUGGGGUUUGUUUUGUUUCGAGCCAAAGCUGGCCUUACUGCUAGCAUCCCCACAUAUUAUGCUUGGAUGUUACAUGAGCUAGAAAAUUAAUUAGCUAGCCUGUAUGCUUACGCCUCCAUGGAUCGUAUCGAUCCAGCCGGCUAAUACGUGGGUGUUUCACUCAGCAAACAUGCAUGCAUGCUGCUUCAUUGAGCCUUUUUUCUGCCCCUUUUCGGUUUGGUCAUCAUGAUUUAUUGGCUCCUUAUAUAAACAUUUCAAGUUAGGACCUCAAAUGCUCAUUUGCUAAAGAAAAAGAAAAGACACCUCAGAUAUAGAUAUGUGGCAUGCAGUACUGGUGGCAUGUUAAUUGGCUAGAAACCAAACAGCGACCCAACCAUUUUGCCCAAAAAUUGGUAGAUGCUAUGGCUAUAAUCCAAACAACACUACCACACCAAAAUUUUGGUCAUGCCCUCGCUUUGGCUGCCAAAAUUUUGGCAGGGCAUGUUGGGGCACAAACCAAACAGCCUUCUGAUUUCUCAGUUAUUAUUAACAUCAAAAUUUGGUACAAGUCACUCUCGAUUGUUCCUGGAUUUAUGCCAAGCUUCUUAUACAAUCGUUGGUAUUAUUUUUUAUAUGCGUAACUAGAAGUAGCUGGUGUCCUUUUACUUUAUCAGCUUAUAUAAUUGAUGCGUACAAGUAGCUCCUGAUCUUUGCUCAAUUUAAUAUAUAUCACAAGUAGCUCGUGAUCUUUACUUUAUGGGGGGAUGUUAUGUACUAAACGCCUCCAUCCAGAACAGUAGUAAACAUAAACUUUCUGCCGCCCUUUACUCUGUUUUAUUUAUUUAUAAUAGAAACUGGUGUAGAGUUAGAUACGUGUAGUGCUUGAAGAUUUUUCCUCUUAAUUAGAUAUGGUGCCCAACAUUUGGUAAUGUUAUAAACCCAGGUAUAUGGUCUUUGUAGCUUUUAUCCUUCAGUGAGUGUUGGUGCAUUGACUGUAAGAUAAAAUUGUUCAUUUUCAUUUUUUCGUAUAAUAAUGAGCAUAUGAAAUGGAAUAUCUUGAGUCCAGGCAUCAUUAGUAGGGGUUACUUACAGUAUGAAAUGAUUAUACCAAGUUUCGUUGACAGGUUAUAUGGACUCAACUACAGCUGCUAUAGUAAUCAGUUUUGUGAUGUGUGUUUUGUUACUUUGCCAUUUGACACAUUUUUCUUUGUAUUAAUUUUAAGAAACCUCAUGUUUACUCUUGUUUUAUAGUGGAUGUUAAUCUCAUUUCUAGGCACGGUAAGGUUUAAGAAUGUUGGACAUUUAAUUCAUUUUUAUAUUUGUUGCAAUUAUAUUAUUUCUACUAUCUAUUCAUCUCUGUUAAAAAAAUCUAAGGUUCUUGUAAAUAUCCAGGUAAGAUUGGGAAGAUGGCUACUUGAUGCUGCCCAUCACAGUUAGCCACGACAUGAUGGUUGCCAUAAGGAGGGCUGAUAGCAAGAACCUAAAUAUCGACCUCGAUAGUUUGUAUGUUCUGCUGAUGUAAAAUGAACUGUACUCGUUCCUAACUGUGAUGUGUGAUUUUUUAUUCAAUCUAUAUUGUAAGUUAUCAUUUUGUAGAGGAUUUUGUAAACUGCUACAUUGUAAAUAUAUACAUAUGGCUGCAUAUUUGUUGAACUGUGUAAUGUUAUACACUUUGCAAAUACUUGUUAUUGGGCCACGCAUUAUGCUAAAAAUGUAUCAAGUAAAAAUUG
RNAcentral lists this long non-coding RNA (2439 nucleotides) under Triticum aestivum (bread wheat). RNAcentral describes it as "long non-coding RNA (TAES_LNC014114)". Lineage: Eukaryota; Viridiplantae; Streptophyta; Magnoliopsida; Poales; Poaceae. The record is from RNAcentral.